This 441-nucleotide ribosomal RNA is filed under the name soil bacterium 02G-07. RNAcentral's name for it is "bacterial SSU rRNA". It matches the Rfam family "Bacterial small subunit ribosomal RNA", at positions 24 to 451 of the family's 1533-position model. The record is from RNAcentral.
UCAGGACGAACGCUGGCGGCGUGCCUAAUACAUGCAAGUCGAGCGGAGUUGANGAGGNGCUUGCACCUCUGAUGNUUAGCGGCGGACGGGUGAGUAACACGUAGGCAACCUGCCUGUAAGAUCGGGAUAACUACCGGAAACGGUAGCUAAGACCGGAUAAUCGGUUUCUCCGCAUGGAGNGAUCGUGAAACACGGAGCAAUCUGUGGCUUACGGAUGGGCCUGCGGCGCAUUAGCUAGUUGGUGAGGUAACGGCUCACCAAGGCGACGAUGCGUAGCCGACCUGAGAGGGUGAACGGCCACACUGGGACUGAGACACGGCCCAGACUCCUACGGGAGGCAGCAGUAGGGAAUCUUCCGCAAUGGACGCAAGUCUGACGGAGCAACGCCGCGUGAGUGAUGAAGGUUUUCGGAUCGUAAAGCUCUGUUGCCAGGGAAGAACG